GGGAAAAAAAAAAUCAAACAACCCAAUAUUUUUAUACAGAAGAGGUUCACUUGUUCUUUGUGCUUUAUUGGACACUCCAGACCCCACAGGGGUGAUGUGGGGUUUAACUUGGGCUCUUCUGCUUUAAGGCACUAAAACCAGAACUGCCAGGCACCUUCUCUUCUGCUGCUGAUCAAAAAUGGGUUUUAGUGUCUGACAGGGACUGUAGAAACUCGGAGCAAAAUUCUUUUCAGGUCCUUUGUGGUGUGCAGGGCCCUGGCCUGGCUGCAGGAGCAGAUUAAUGCUGCCAGCAGGGUGGGAGGAAGCAGAUAAGAGCAGAUCUCUCUGGGAGGGGUUCUUGGCACAGCUUCAUCCCAAGGAGAGUCCUCACAAAUUUCUUUUUAGUUUGUCCUGCACUUAAAAUGAUUCAGGGAAGCAGGCUGGGGUGGGUAUAAUGGGAGUAUCACUGCCAACAGAGA
Molecule: long non-coding RNA, 458 nt
Organism: Ficedula albicollis (Collared flycatcher)
Lineage: Eukaryota; Metazoa; Chordata; Aves; Passeriformes; Muscicapidae
Exons: 2
Source: RefSeq, a predicted model, not a curated record